Molecule: long non-coding RNA, 521 nt
Organism: Erinaceus europaeus (western European hedgehog)
Lineage: Eukaryota; Metazoa; Chordata; Mammalia; Eulipotyphla; Erinaceidae
Exons: 2
Source: RefSeq, a predicted model, not a curated record
GUCUCAAAAGAUGAUGAUCCAGAUACUGUGGGAAGAUUUUCAAGAGAUAACAUGAACAUCAACACAGUGGUUACAUGUCUAAACCUUACCUCUGGGAAAAGAGCAAACUUUGAAUUUUGUCGACAGGUAACUCAGGAGAUCAACAUGACAGUCCUCAACAAGGGAACAGUUUUUUUCUUGGUUGCUUUCAUCCCAAGAGCCAGUGUGAUUACCAAGCAGCAAAAGCAAUUUGAUAUCCAGGAAUAUUUCACAAACCACUAAUUGAGGGUACAACUCCAGAUGAAUCAAAGACUACCACACUCCACUCCAGAAAAGGCUAAGCUGUUAGCCCAUCCAUUCUCCCAGUCACUAAGAGGGUCCCUUCACCUAUCAAUUAAUGCAAGUGGGCAUCAUCUUCUUUAAAAUGGGUCUGCCUGAAACAGUAAGCUUGAGGGUAAAGAUAGAGAAGGUGGUGAUAAUAUGUGAUUAGGCAUUAAAAAAAAAAAGCUCCGGAUGUGACUAUUAAAAAUAACUACUUCAUG